GAUGAACGCUGGCGGCGUGCCUAAUACAUGCAAGUCGAGCGAACAGACGAGGAGCUUGCUCCUCUGACGUUAGCGGCGGACGGGUGAGUAACACGUGGAUAACCUACCUAUAAGACUGGGAUAACUUCGGGAAACCGGAGCUAAUACCGGAUAAUAUAUUGAACCGCAUGGUUCUAUAGUGAAAGACGGCUUUGCUGUCACUUAUAGAUGGAUCCGCGCCGCAUUAGCUAGUUGGUAAGGUAACGGCUUACCAAGGCAACGAUGCGUAGCCGACCUGAGAGGGUGAUCGGCCACACUGGAACUGAGACACGGUCCAGACUCCUACGGGAGGCAGCAGUAGGGAAUCUUCCGCAAUGGGCGAAAGCCUGACGGAGCAACGCCGCGUGAGUGAUGAAGGUCUUCGGAUCGUAAAACUCUGUUAUUAGGGAAGAACAAAUGUGUAAGUAACUAUGCACGUCUUGACGGUACCUAAUCAGAAAGCCACGGCUAACUACGUG
RNAcentral lists this ribosomal RNA (497 nucleotides) under uncultured bacterium. RNAcentral's name for it is "partial 16S ribosomal RNA". It matches the Rfam family "Bacterial small subunit ribosomal RNA", at positions 28 to 507 of the family's 1533-position model. The record is from RNAcentral.